RNAcentral lists this ribosomal RNA (416 nucleotides) under uncultured prokaryote. RNAcentral's name for it is "bacterial SSU rRNA". It matches the Rfam family "Bacterial small subunit ribosomal RNA", at positions 505 to 918 of the family's 1533-position model. The record is from RNAcentral.
GUGUCAGCAGCCGCGGUAAGACGGAGGGGGCAAGCGUUGUCCGGAAUUAUUGGGCGUAAAGAGCACGUAGGCGGUUUUCUAAGUCUGAUGUGAAAACUCCGGGCUUAACCUGGAGCUUGCAUCAGAAACUGGAUCACUUGAGUUCAGUGGGGGGAAUUGGAAUUCCUAGUGUAGCGGUGAAAUGCGCAGAUAUUAGGAGGAACACCAGUGGCGAAGGCGGAUUCCUAUACUGUAACUGACGCUGAGGUGCGAAAGCUAGGGGAGCAAACAGGAUUAGAUACCCUGGUAGUCCUAGCUGUAAACGAUGGGCACUAGGUGUGGGAAGUUAUCGACUCUUUCCGUGCCGAAGCUAACGCAUUAAGUGCCCCGCCUGGGGAGUACGACCGCAAGGUUAAAACUCAAAUGAAUUGACGGGG